GGUAACUGAAAAACUCAGUCUGAUGGUAGACCUCGAGCAGGACUUGUUCCUAUUGAGAUUGUAAGCUUUCAUGGUAUGAUAGAGCUGCGUGAUGCCUCGCACUGGAGUGUUUGUCUACCCUCGGGAUUUCAAAUCAACCAGCAAAAAGCCAAGUAGGUGCUGGGCAGCAAUGGCGGCAUCUGAUUUCAGUAUUUUAUACCAGUAAGGAAUUGAUUGACCUGGGAAAUAGCAUGGGUGUAAAUGGGAAAGAGGGACUUAGCAAGGAGAUUGUGAAGGCCAUUAUAGACUAUCAUAGGGUAAUAAAAAGAAUAAACAGCGAGUCGUGUGUGAAGCUAGCCAUGAGGCUGGUACUCUCAAAGAUUACUGGAUUGGUAGCCUUUUAAAAGAAAAAACUGUUCCUAAGUCUGUGGAC
Molecule: long non-coding RNA, 412 nt
Organism: Magallana angulata
Lineage: Eukaryota; Metazoa; Mollusca; Bivalvia; Ostreida; Ostreidae
Exons: 3
Source: RefSeq, a predicted model, not a curated record